This is a long non-coding RNA of Bos taurus (domestic cattle), 1209 nucleotides long. Lineage: Eukaryota; Metazoa; Chordata; Mammalia; Artiodactyla; Bovidae. The record is from Ensembl.
AGACUAGCUUAUCUAGGUGGGUUGCAUGUAAUUAGAUCCUAAUGAGAAUCAGGUGCCUUAAGAGUUCUCCUGAGAGAGAGGGGGAUGGGAGGAAAGAAGAGAGUAGAGUGCUUGGGGGAGGGACCACGAGCCAGAAAGUGCAAGCAACCCUAGAAGAUGGAGAAAGCAAAGAAACGAAUUCUCCCCUCUGGCCUGCAGAAGGAAGAUAGUCUGGCUGAUACCUUGAUGUUUAGGACUUCUGACCUGCAGAACGAGUCAUGAUUUUGGAAGCACCAACAGCGUAAGUCUGCAGAAGGGAAUGGCAACCCACUCCAGUAUUCUUGCCUGAAGAAUCCCAUGGACAGGGGAGCCUGGUGGGUUUCAGUCCGCGGGGUUGCAAAGAGUCAGACACAACAGAGCAACUAAAAGAAAUCCAUGCUUCAUGAACCUAGGAAUUUGUGUCUCUUUUGUUUAUUGGAGUUUCCCAAGAAGCUAGAACAGGUCCUGGAACAUAAUGGAUAUCCAGAAGAUAUUUGCUGGCAGAGGUGGUGGAAGAAGUUACCUCACAGUGUCAUGUCAGAACCAGUGGAAUGAUUUCUCAAGCACUUAGAAGUAGCCCACUAAGAGUGGAGGUCUUAGGCCCAUGGAGUUCCCUGAUCAGGGAGGCAUGGAGGAGGGCUCAGAAAUGGCUGCAAAGAGUUCAUUUUUCCUUUAUGCAGAGGUCAACUUUCAUGUCAUGCCUUGUUUAAAAAAUUCACCUAUUCAGAUUUUCUAAUGCUUUUGAAUUGUCGUGCUGGAGAAGACUCCUGGGAGUCCCUUGGACAGCAAGGAAAUCAAACCAGUCAAUCCUAAAGGAAAUCAACCCUUAAUAUUCAUUGGAAGGACUGAUGCUGAAGCUGAUGCUCCAAUACUUCGGCCACCUGAUGCCAAGAGCCAACUCACAGGAAAAGAUGCCCUGAUGCUGGGAAAGAUGGAAGGCAAAAGGAGAAGGGGGCGGCAAAGAAUAAGAUGGCUACAUAACAACACCAACUCAGUGGACAUGAAUUUGAGCAAACUCUGGGAGACAGUGGAGGACAAAGGAGGCUGGCAUGCUGCAGUCCAUGGGGUCGCAGAGUUGGAUAUGACUUAGUGAACAAUAACAAAUUCAGAUUUUCAGAUUAUGGUGUAAUUUCUCAGAUGUCUGAGGGGAUAUUAUUAGAUAUUUACCUUAAUAUCCUGUCACUGCUUGCU